CAUUUAUGAGCAAACUUCGAGGUGGAUCCUGAGCUGCUGUUUGAUUUCACUGACACACUCACUAUUACAUUGGACAAUGCUGCGAGUCAGGUGUCUGAGAGGAGGUAGCAGGGGGGCCGAGGCUGCCCAUCUGAUCGGAGCCAUGCUUGGCCGGGCGGUGACUGGAUGGGUGCAGAAGGCCUCCCAGAGCACUUCAAGUGCAGCUGCUGCACAGCCGCAGCGUGCAGUUGAAGAGGAACAUGUUACUGAGCCCAUGCAGCAGGAAUGUCCUGUCUGCAGCUACAAUGAAUGGGACCCUCUGGAGGAGGUGAUCGUGGGCCGUGCUGAAAACGCCCAUGUGCCUCCCUUCAGUGUGGAAGUGAAAGCUAACACAUACGAGAAGUAUUGGCCCUUCUACAAUAAGUAUGGGGGCCAGUCUUUUCCUGAGGACCACUUGAAGAAAGCUGUUGCCGAGAUUGAAGAAAUGUGCAAUAUUCUGCGUCAGGAGGGCGUCGUUGUGAGGAGGCCAGAACCCCUCGACUGGUCCAUGGAAUACAAAACUCCAGACUUCACAUCCUCAGGCAUGUACGCUGCCAUGCCCAGAGACAUCCUUAUGGUUGUGGGAAAUGAGAUUAUUGAGGCUCCCAUGGCCUGGAGGGCUCGUUUCUUUGAGUACCGGGCCUACAGACCUUUGAUCAAGGAGUACUUCAGAAAAGGUGCUAAAUGGACCACUGCUCCUAAACCCACUAUGGCCAAUGAUCUGUAUGAUCAGAACUACCCCAUGCGCACUGUGGAGGACAGACACAAGCUGGCCGCCCAGGGGAAGUUUGUGACCACAGAGCACGAGCCCUGCUUUGAUGCUGCUGAUUUCAUCCGAGCUGGGAGGGAUCUGUUUGUCCAGAGGAGUCAGGUUACAAAUUACAUGGGAAUUGAGUGGAUGCGUCGUCAUCUGGCCCCAGACUACAAGGUCCACAUAAUCUCAUUCAAGGACCCUAACCCCAUGCACAUUGAUGCCACUUUUAACAUAAUUGGGCCAGGACUGGUGCUGUCAAACCCUGAUCGUCCAUGUAACCAGGUCGACAUGUUCAAGAAGGCCGGCUGGACUAUUGUGAAACCUCCAGUGCCUCUGAUCCCUGAUGACCACCCACUGUGGAUGUCCUCCAAAUGGCUGUCCAUGAAUGUCCUGAUGUUGGAUGAAAAGCGUGUUAUGGUUGACGCCAAUGAAAACAGCAUUCACAAAAUGUUUGAAAGUCUUGGUAUCAAGACCAUAAAGGUGAACAUUCGCCAUGCCAAUUCCCUGGGUGGUGGCUUCCACUGCUGGACAACCGAUGUCCGCCGCCGUGGUACCCUGCAGUCCUAUUUCCACUAGCCUUGCCAGAAAUAGGCAGUUUUUAUUGAGCUUUGAAGAUGAAAGCCUCAAUCCUAAAUCUUAAUACCACUUUAAUUGUUAUUGUCAGUGAAUCACGUACGUACACACAGACUAAUUAAGGGUGGAGCUUUGUGAUACAAAAAUCUACUGUUGGCAAAUUUCUAUCUCAAAAACUAUCCACUGAAAUUUGGGUGUUUGGGUGCUGCAGUUCAAAGUCAAACCUCAGAGCAGUUUACUCUCCUAACCUGGAUGAAACAAACUAAUAAUGGGGCAAUCUUAUCUUGACGGGUGGCACCAAACUGCUUCUCUGGAUUGGGUCUUAAUGUCCUAAAUUAACAUGUAUGAAUUGUUUUGAUUUGACAUUGCUGUGCAUCAGAGUGCCUUUGCAAACAGCUUUGUUCAGAUAUGCUCAAUAGCAACAAAUGAACAUCACUUUACUUCAAUUAGUAAUCUCAAUAUUAACUGAAUUUCUGGCCUGGCUAUUGUGAAGCUGAAUUGUUUAUGACCUCUACAUCUAAAAGUCAUAACUUUGAGGACAAGGUACAAUUUGGUAUGUGAAACAAGGGCACAGGAGGAGAAAGAAUGCAUCCUCGUAAAAAAAAAAAAAAAAAAGUCAGAAACCUUAAUUCUGUCUUUUUCCAAAGUAUUUUUAUAUUUAAAGAAAUGUAUAAAAGUUUUUAUGUAGGUCAUUAAACAAUAUUAAUUUCUUGCUGGUAUAUUAUUUGUAAAGAUAUUAAUUGAGAAGACAAAGUAUUUUUCAUACUCUUUAUUGGAUUUCCCAACAAAUAGAUGUUUUUAUAUAUUUACUUAAAGUAUGCGGUCCAUAUCAGAUAUUGUAUACCUUUUGCCUCUGCUGUUUUCUCCUAUUGCAAAUCUGGGCCAGUUAUAUGCUACUAGUUGUUCUCACUGCUUGGCUGCUUUUGUGUGGAAAGCAAAAAAAUGCCUAAAGAAUGAAAGGUGUUUUGUUGUGAAGAUUUAUGUUUUAUAAUUCUUUUGCUGCCUUUACAGUUGGAUAUAAGAUGUUUACCUCUUCAAGUCUAUCUUGAUAUUGCUUUUGAAACAAUGAACUUAAAGGACGUUAUGGCUAAAUAGAGGAAUGCAAAUUAUGUUUUGUAUCAAGCAAGAUUAUUAAAUGUAAUUAAAAAGAGUUGUGUGUCA
Dicentrarchus labrax (European seabass) is the source of this 2506-nucleotide RNA transcript. It is a transcript of the gene named glycine amidinotransferase, mitochondrial, with no coding region annotated. The transcript has 10 exons. NCBI's taxonomy places the organism in Eukaryota, Metazoa, Chordata, Actinopteri, Moronidae. The record is from RefSeq and is a predicted model, not a curated record.